Molecule: ribosomal RNA, 721 nt
Filed under: Phocaeicola plebeius
Lineage: Bacteria; Pseudomonadati; Bacteroidota; Bacteroidia; Bacteroidales; Bacteroidaceae
Description: bacterial SSU rRNA
Rfam family: Bacterial small subunit ribosomal RNA
Source: RNAcentral
ACGAUGGAUAGGGGUUCUGAGAGGAAGGUCCCCCACAUUGGAACUGAGACACGGUCCAAACUCCUACGGGAGGCAGCAGUGAGGAAUAUUGGUCAAUGGACGAGAGUCUGAACCAGCCAAGUAGCGUGAAGGAUGAAGGUCCUACGGAUUGUAAACUUCUUUUAUAAGGGAAUAAACCCUCCCACGUGUGGGAGCUUGUAUGUACCUUAUGAAUAAGCAUCGGCUAACUCCGUGCCAGCAGCCGCGGUAAUACGGAGGAUGCGAGCGUUAUCCGGAUUUAUUGGGUUUAAAGGGAGCGCAGACGGGUCGUUAAGUCAGCUGUGAAAGUUUGGGGCUCAACCUUAAAAUUGCAGUUGAUACUGGCGUCCUUGAGUGCGGUUGAGGUGUGCGGAAUUCGUGGUGUAGCGGUGAAAUGCUUAGAUAUCACGAAGAACUCCGAUUGCGAAGGCAGCACACUAAGCCGUAACUGACGUUCAUGCUCGAAAGUGUGGGUAUCAAACAGGAUUAGAUACCCUGGUAGUCCACACGGUAAACGAUGGAUACUCGCUGUUGGCGAUAUACUGUCAGCGGCUUAGCGAAAGCGUUAAGUAUCCCACCUGGGGAGUACGCCGGCAACGGUGAAACUCAAAGGAAUUGACGGGGGCCCGCACAAGCGGAGGAACAUGUGGUUUAAUUCGAUGAUACGCGAGGAACCUUACCCGGGCUUAAAUUGCAAAGGAAU